RNAcentral lists this non-coding RNA (29 nucleotides) under Rattus norvegicus (Norway rat). Lineage: Eukaryota; Metazoa; Chordata; Mammalia; Rodentia; Muridae. The record is from RNAcentral.
UCAGGGUCUGAUGUGGCUUUGUUUGCAGC